RNAcentral lists this long non-coding RNA (2516 nucleotides) under Naja naja (Indian cobra). RNAcentral's name for it is "lncRNA (ENSNNAG00000009174.1)". Lineage: Eukaryota; Metazoa; Chordata; Lepidosauria; Squamata; Elapidae. The record is from RNAcentral.
AGGCUGAAUUUGCAGAGAGAUAUUUUGUUUAAUUUUGUGUUACGUAAGGAUUGUAUAAUCUUGUAUAAAUACAGGUAUAGAUGUCAAUUGUCCAGGUGCCCAGGUUUUGGAUGUAGAAUAGAAGCGUGUUCCUUGAAGUCGGGGAAUGUUUUGUCCUUCACCUGAUCUGAUCUGGCUUCUGUUUUGGUGUCAGGGGCAAAAAGGCCACACCGCCUAGCCUUCCCCUUUCUCCUGAAUCUUCCUAUGUUUCUCUCUAGAUAUCCUAAAUAUACAGACCCACCCACCCACCCUCAUCUCAGAGGGGUAUAAAUAAGUGUCUGCUUCCAUCCUGGGCUACACUUUGCAGGCUCCAGAGAUCGCAAGAUGAAAACUCUGCUGCUGACCUUGGUGGUGGUGACAAUUGUGUGCCUGGACUUAGGAUACACCAGGAAAUGUCACAACUCACCGCUUUCGCUAGUCUAUCAGACUUGUCCAAUAGGGCAGAACAUAUGCUUUAAAAUAAGUGUUAAGAAGGUGCCAUCUAGUAAGCACAGUUCUUAUCUUCUCUCAUAGUUUUUCUUCUUCUUGAACCCAAAUUAGAUCUCCCAAAUGCACCUGAGAGUUGGAGGUCAUGUAGGACCUGUCUGUGCCCUGCCUGGGUUCCCCUGAGAUCACAGCCUGUCACCGGACACUCUAAGCAAUGCAAGGAAAGGGGGUCUUGGACUGGGGAGCCCCAUCUUUCUCAGCAACAGCCCAGAUGGGAGGGGGAAACCUUCUUUAGAGCAAGGGGUAGGGAAAGAUUGGGAGACCUACUGGUUUGUUCAGGAUUUGAGGGAAAUUGGAUGAAGCCAUGAAACAUCCAAGAAAGGUGCCAUUGCCCCUGAGUCAUGUCACAACACAGGACUUCCCAGAAAUCUCUUCUUCAUUCAUUUACUCCUGAGUUUUGAGUAGAGGAGGAAGGAGGUCUGCCUUCCUACUGGGAGGGAUGCAUGAAUGUGUUCAGUGUGGGUUUACCAUUUUGUUCAGCAACAGCCACAGAUCUGUUCUUUGGUACUUUUUAAAUAAUCAUUAUGCUUUGUGCUUCCUUCACAGAAUUUUCUAUCAAAAGGAGAUGUGCUGCUACUUGCCCUAAAAGCAGUGCUCUAGUGAAGGUUGUCUGUUGCAACUGAUAGCUCUACGAGUUCCUAAUUUCCUUGAGUUUUGCUCUCAUCCAUCAUGGACAUCCUUGAAAAUUUAUGCUUGUGGCCUUUACCACCAGAUGGUCUAUCAUCCCCCUCUCCCCUGCUUUCUUUGACACUUCAUCGUCUUUCCCUUUUCUCUUCUUCUGUAAGUUUCCUUCUGCUAGUUCUGUAGUUUGAGAAUCAAAUAAACCUCAGCAUUCAAUUCAAGGGUUUUGAUUUUUUUAAUUCCCCCCUCAAAACAUCCCUUUCACAAAACCUACAGGUAGAGAGUCUUUCUCCAGGUCUCAGCAGGCAGGGAUGCUGGGAUGAGCAGGACUAGGUCCAAUCUCUUUUGACUCCUGGCUUGGAUUGCCUACCAGGUAAUAACCUCACAUUCAGACAGGGUAAAGAAAGAGGAGAAACCCACAACUGAGUCUUUCCUCAGUGAAACCUUAAACUUCAGGGCUGCUCCGUCCCUUCCUUUCUUCUCUCUGGGGAAAGCUGAGGGGAAGAGGAAGAUAUCUUGAAACAGAGGAGGGGGAUUUGGGGUGAAGUAUGUCAGGUCCCUUCUCCAUCAUCCCCACCUGAAAGAAGAAACAUCUUGAUUCAAUAGUUGACUCUGAAGGCUCUUCUCAAACUUUCUCAAUCCUGGGUUCAAGUUUCGGUGGUUACACCUGGACAUUGGGGGUUCACUGGUCUGAUCUUUCCUCACUGCAUUGGGUACACCAAGGUGAAGCUUUGCUGGUUUUCCUCUUUACACCAGGUGGACCGAGCGGAAGCCACGCUGGCCUAAUUGGGUAGAGCGGGCUAGAGCUUGGAAGGCCUUUCUCUUUACACCUGGUAGACCGGGCAAAAGCUUCACUGGCCUAUUCUUUCCUCUCUGCAUUGGGUAGACCAGGCCGAAGCUACAUGAGUAGACUGGGAUGGCCUGGAUCUAACCCCAUCACAGGCCUUGAGUUUGACAACCCUGGACUACAAUGAUGUGGUCCUUCUGUAAAAGACAUAUGGCACUAAAAUACAUACUUGGUUAGAAAAAUGGUAAACAACAUGUAGAUUUGAAACCAGAGAUAUUGUUGGUGGGUAUAUUACCAGAUCAGUAUGACAAAGGGAAAACAUUUAAUUUUACAUGUACUAAGGGGAGCAAGAUUGUGUUUGCACAGCAAUGGAAAAAUGAAGAGAUCCCUAUGGAGGAAAAUGUUAUUAAAAAUAUUAGUAUGUGCUGAGAUGGACAGAUUAACAUUUGAAAUAAAAGACAAGGAAGAAACAGAAUACUUGUAAACAUGGGACUUGUUUUAACAAUGGCUAACCAACAGGAACAGAGGUUACAAACCAAAAAGUUUAAAAAAUAAUAAUAAAAUUCUGAUUGAUAACUUUUCA